This 252-nucleotide ribosomal RNA is filed under the name uncultured bacterium. Its description in RNAcentral is "partial 16S ribosomal RNA". It matches the Rfam family "Bacterial small subunit ribosomal RNA", at positions 524 to 776 of the family's 1533-position model. The record is from RNAcentral.
UACGUAGGGUGCAAGCGUUAAUCGGAAUUACUGGGCGUAAAGCGUGCGCAGGCGGUUUUGUAAGUCAGAUGUGAAAUCCCCGGGCUUAACCUGGGAACUGCGUUUGAAACUACAAGGCUAGAGUGUGGCAGAGGGGGUGGAAUUCCGGGUGUAGUGGUGAAAUGCGUAGAUAUCCGGAGGAACACCAGUGGCGAAGGCGACUUUCUGGCCUGUUCUUGACGCUGAGGCGCGAAAGCUAGGGGAGCAAACGGG